UUCUGAUGUGUUAGUUUUAUCUCAUUUUAUUUUAUUAUUAUCCUUUAGAACCCUAUUUGUUUUCUAAUGGGAGACAGAAAAGGGGCGGAUCCAGAUGGGAGGAGUGGAGAGAGGGAAAACAUAAUCAGUAUAUAUUAUAUGAGAAAAAAAUCUAUUUUCAAUAAAAAGAGAGGGGGAAAGGACAUGAGGUUUGGAGGAAGACUUGUUGGAGGGGUUGUGGAGAGCAUUGUACAGGGGAGGAAGAGUGGACCCAAUGAAGAUACAUUGUACACAUAUGUGAAAUUUUCAAAGAAUAAAUAUUAUUUGCAAGCGAGAAUGUGUUCCACUCAAUACAAUAGACUUAUUUCGUAGUUUUAGGUUUGUUUUUGUUUUUUUGUUGUUGUUUGUACUCCUAGCAAAAUAUGACAAAGCCCUCAAAGGGAUGUUUUUAAUGAGUUGACUUUCAAUAUGAGCUCAAUUUUCUGGGUGACUGUGUCUAAAUUCUUCAUAGUACCACCUAGGAUCCAAAGCACAGAAGUACACUACACCGUCAACGAGAACUCUCAAGUUGUUCUCCCGUGUGUCGCUGAUGGAAUCCCCACGCCUGCAAUUCACUGGGAAAGAGACAGCGUUCUUCUAGCCAACUUGUUAGGGAAGUACACUGCCCAGCCAUAUGGAGAACUCGUCUUGGAAAAUGUUGUG
This 681-nucleotide long non-coding RNA is filed under the name Rattus norvegicus (Norway rat). RNAcentral's name for it is "long non-coding RNA NONRATT008798". The record is from RNAcentral. Lineage: Eukaryota; Metazoa; Chordata; Mammalia; Rodentia; Muridae.